GGUUUCCAUUCAGCAAUAGACUGUAAACAAGCCUGAUGUUUUGCCUUCAUUUAGGAAGACAUAUCUCAAGACCUAGUAACAGUUUGCUGCUGGCUGCAAAUGACUCUGAUCAUAGAGUGAACUAGCCCUUCAAGUCUCUUUCUCACUGACAUCCCCACAUCUCGUAUGCUUCAGCAUCAAAUCAGUGGUCUUCCCUAAUGUUCCAAAUUCUUUCAUACCUCUGGGCUUCUGCAUUUACUGUCUCCUCUGCCUGAGACUUCUAUGAUCUCUUCUAUUCAUCUGGUGAAUUCAUAUUCACUCUUUGAGAUUUAGACCAAACUUCAGCUGCACCAGGAAGUGAUUCAGGCCAGGCUAGGUGCCUAUCUUCUAAGCUUCGAUAACACUCCACUGCACCCUUCUAUGCACUUAACACACUUCAUGAUAGUCUUGGUUUACUUAUUUCUGUGGUACUUCUACAAGAUUCUUGAAAACAUGGACUUAUAUUAUUCAUCUUAUUUUGUUUAUAUAUUCUCAUCUCCUAGUUAGUACAAUUCCUGGCACAUAGGAGAGCUCAUAAAUGUUAUUUAAAUGAAUAAACAAAUAAUUGAAUUAUUAGUAAAAAGCAGGCAAAUUAAGUAGAUUUCUCUACAUUGUGACUUGAAGAUCUUCCCAAAGAACAAAAAUACCUGAAAAGCCACCAUUAGAGAUUUACUAUAGAUUAUUUUGACCUGGCAGUAAAAUUGCAGCAUGGCCUUAAACAAUGCUGGCUUUCUUAGCUAAUAGUUUUUCAUCACAUUAAAGUACACUACAACCAUCCAUCUCCUCCAGAAACCUAAGAGUAGGGUUACAAAAGAACAUAAAAGGUAAGUUCCAAUAAGAGACAAUUCAUGUCUUAAAUUUACAGAAUGGAAUAAUGCUCAAGACAGGGAAGGUCUAAAUAAGUGAUUAGCACACCGUUUUGGGGAGCAUUCAGACUUGAGUUUGAAUCCUAGUUCUACCACUCAAUAGCUAUGAGAUUUGGGAAAAUGUACUUUCUUACUCCUGCAUCAAUUUCUUCAUCUGGAAAAUGGGAAUAUUAACAUCCAAAUCAUAAGAUUAAAUGAGAUAACAUAUAAAAUGCUUUUCAGGAGUUCCCAGGCUCGGGGUCAAAUCGGAGCUGUAGCCGCCAGCCUACGCCAGAGCCACGGCAACACAGGAUCCGAGCCGUAUCUGCAACCUACACCACAGCUCAUGGCAACGUUGGAUCCUUAACCCACUGAGCAAGGGCAGGGACUGAACCCACAACCUCAUGGUUCCUAGUCGGAUUCGUUAACCACUGCGCCAUGACGGGAACUCCUGCACCACUUAUUGAAGAGACUGUCUUUCCUCCAAUGAGACUGUCUGUCCUUGCCUCCUUUGUCAUGGAUUAGUUAACCAUAGCACACAGGUUUAUUUUCAGGCUUUCUAUCCUGUCCCAUUGAUCUAUAUUUCUGUUUUUGUGCCAGUACCAUACUGUUUUGAUGACUGUAGCUUUGUAGUAUAGUCUUGAGUCAGGGAGCCUGCUUCCUCCAGUUCUGCUUUUCUUUUUCAAUAUUGCUUUAGCUAUUUUGGAUUUUUUGUGUUUCCAUACAAAUUUUUUUAUUCAUGUAUUUAUUAAAGUAUAGUUGAUUUGCAAUGUUGUGCCAAUUUCUGCUGUACAGCAAAGUGACCCAGUCAUGCAUAGCUAUACAUUCCCUUUCUUCUCUCUCUCUUUUUUUUUUUCUAUCUUUUUGCCUUUUCUAGGGCCACUUCCUGCAGCAUAUGGAGGUUCCCAGGCUAGGGGUCUAAUCAGAGCUGUAGCCACCGGCCUACGCCACAGCCACAGCAACACGGGAUCCAAGUCACGUCUACAAACUACACCACAACUCAUGGAAACACCGGAUCCUUAACCCACUGAGCAAGGCCAGGGAUUGAACCCGAAACCUCAUGGUUCUUAGUCAGAUUCGUUAUCCAUUGAGCCACGACAGGAACUCCUUAUCUUAUCUUCCAUCAUGGUCCAUCCCAAGAGAUUGGAUAUAGUUUCCUGUGCUAUGCAGCAGAACCUCAUUGCUUAUCCAUGCCAUAUAAAUUUUAAAAUGUCCUGUUCUAGUUCUGUGAAGAAUGGCAUUGGAUUAAGAAGAUGUGGUGCAUAUAUACAAUGGAAUACUACUUGGCCAUAAAAAAAGAACAAAGUAGAGUUCCCACUGUGGCUCAGUGAUAAUGAACCUCACUAGCAUCCCUGGCCUCCCUCAGUGGGUUAAGGAUCUAGCACAGACUGGGCUCGGAUCCUGAAUUGCUGUGGCUCUAGCGUAGGCUGGCCACCGCAGCUCCAAUUUGAUUCCUAGCCUAGAAACUUCCAUAUGCUGCACAUGUAGCCCUAAAAAGCAAAAGAAAAAAGAAAAAAAAAAA
RNAcentral lists this long non-coding RNA (2385 nucleotides) under Sus scrofa (pig). Its description in RNAcentral is "lncRNA (ENSSSCG00040046117.1)". Lineage: Eukaryota; Metazoa; Chordata; Mammalia; Artiodactyla; Suidae. The record is from RNAcentral.